GACGAACGCUGGCGGCGUGCUUAACACAUGCAAGUCGAACGGAAAGGCCCUGCUUUUGUGGGGUGCUCGAGUGGCGAACGGGUGAGUAACACGUGAGUAACCUGCCCUUGACUUUGGGAUAACUUCGGGAAACUGGGGCUAAUACCGGAUAGGAGCUCCUGCUGCAUGGUGGGGGUUGGAAAGUUUCGGCGGUUGGGGAUGGACUCGCGGCUUAUCAGCUUGUUGGUGGGGUAGUGGCUUACCAAGGCUUUGACGGGUAGCCGGCCUGAGAGGGUGACCGGCCACAUUGGGACUGAGAUACGGCCCAGACUCCUACGGGAGGCAGCAGUGGGGAAUAUUGCACAAUGGGCGGAAGCCUGAUGCAGCAACGCCGCGUGCGGGAUGACGGCCUUCGGGUUGUAAACCGCUUUCGCCUGUGACGAAGCGUGAGUGACGGUAAUGGGUAAAGAAGCACCGGCUAACUACGUGCCAGCAGCCGCGGUGAUACGUAGGGUGCGAGCGUUGUCCGGAUUUAUUGGGCGUAAAGGGCUCGUAGGUGGUUGAUCGCGUCGGAAGUGUAAUCUUGGGGCUUAACCCUGAGCGUGCUUUCGAUACGGGUUGACUUGAGGAAGGUAGGGGAGAAUGGAAUUCCUGGUGGAGCGGUGGAAUGCGCAGAUAUCAGGAGGAACACCAGUGGCGAAGGCGGUUCUCUGGGCCUUUCCUGACGCUGAGGAGCGAAAGCGUGGGGAGCGAACAGGCUUAGAUACCCUGGUAGUCCACGCUGUAAACGGUGGGUACUAGGUGUGGGGUCCAUUCCACGGGUUCCGUGCCGUAGCUAACGCUUUAAGUACCCCGCCUGGGGAGUACGGCCGCAAGGCUAAAACUCAAAGGAAUUGACGGGGCCCCGCACAAGCGGCGGAGCAUGCGGAUUAAUUCGAUGCAACGCGUAGAACCUUACCUGGGUUUGACAUGGAUCGGGAGUGCUCAGAGAUGGGUGUGCCUCUUUUGGGGUCGGUUCACAGGUGGUGCAUGGCUGUCGUCAGCUCGUGUCGUGAGAUGUUGGGUUAAGUCCCGCAACGAGCGCAACCCUUGUUCACUGUUGCCAGCACGUUAUGGUGGGGACUCAGUGGAGACCGCCGGGGUCAACUCGGAGGAAGGUGGGGAUGACGUCAAGUCAUCAUGCCCCUUACGUCCAGGGCUUCACGCAUGCUACAAUGGCUGGUACAGAGAGUGGCGAGCCUGUGAGGGUGAGCGAAUCUCGGAAAGCCGGUCUCAGUUCGGAUUGGGGUCUGCAACUCGACCUCAUGAAGUCGGAGUCGCUAGUAAUCGCAGAUCAGCAACGCUGCGGUGAAUACGUUCCCGGGGCU
RNAcentral lists this ribosomal RNA (1346 nucleotides) under uncultured bacterium. RNAcentral's name for it is "partial 16S ribosomal RNA". It matches the Rfam family "Bacterial small subunit ribosomal RNA", at positions 28 to 1381 of the family's 1533-position model. The record is from RNAcentral.